UCAUCAUUCACUGCUUUGUUUAGUGCACUAGCUAAGAAGAAGCAUUAUUUUGAAGUGAUUUCGCUUUAUAAGCUAUUGAAUUCAACUGGGUUGUCUCCAGAUUUGAUGUCUUUGAACAUUUUGAUGAAUUGCUUUUGUAAUAUUAAAAGGGUUUCGGAUAGUUUUGCGCUUUUGGGGGGGAUUUUGACCUAAUGCUGUGACUUUCACUUGUUUGAUUAAAGGUCUUUAUGUAAAGAAAAAGAUUAUGGAGUCAAUGGAAUUGUUUCAGAAAAUGGUUGUUAUUGGUUGUAGGCCUGAUGUCAUCGCUUGCAACACUUUGAUGGAUGGAUUGUGUAAAACAGGGAAGAUAAGUGUUGCCAUUAAGUUGCUUGAAGAAAUGGCUAAAGGGAAUGAAGAAUCUGGUGUUAUUUGUAGGCCAGAUGUUGUUAGUUAUAGUACUAUAAUUGAUGGUCUUUGUAAGGCAGGAUUAAUUGAGAAAGCAAGAGAAUUGUAUUUUGAAAUGAAGGGUUUGGAACUUAGUCUAAACCUUUAUACUUAGAACAUUUUAAUGAAUGGUUAUUGCUUGGCUGAUAGAAUUAGUGAUGCAAGGGAGUUGUUUGAUUCUGUAACUAGAAAGGGGUAUGGACCUGAUGUUGUUAGCUACAAUACUUUAAUAAAUUGGUGUUGCAAGAAUAAAGAAGUCAACAAAGCUCUUUAUCUUUAUCAGAAGAUGAUUUAUGAAGGAAUUAGGCUUGCUGUGGCAAUUUAUAGCACUUUGUUAAGUGGCCUUUUUCUUAAAGCUAAUGUAAAAAAUGCACGGAAUUUAGUUGGUGAGAUGCAACUUAAUGGUGUUUUACCUAAUUCUUGGACAUAUAACAUUUUCAUUGAUGGACUUUGCAAGAAUGGAUGUGUUUUGGAGGCGGUGGAAAGGUUUAAUACUCUAGUAAAUAAUAAGUUUGCGGUUAGCCUUGAAGGUUUGAAUUCCCUCAUUGAUGGAUUAUGUAAAACAGGGAGAUUCGAAACUGGAUGGGACCUAUUUCAGAAAUUUUGUCUUCAUGAAAACCUAGUACCAAACAUUGUGACAUAUAGCAUCUUGAUCAAUGGGCUUUGUAAAACUAGACGACUAGAAAAGGCAAAUGAGUUGUUGUCAUAUAUGGAGGAAAAAGGAUGUGCUCUAGAUGUAGUCACAUUUAAUAUGCUCAUGUUCGGUUUCCUCAAAAGUAAUAAGAUAGCAAAAGUUGUUGAACUCCUUCAUAAGAUGGCAGAGAGAAAUGUGAAGCCAACUGAAUUGACAAUGUCCUUAGUGAUGCAGCUAAUAAUGAAGGCUGGAAAUUAUUGUGAAUGUUUGAACCAGCUUCCUCAAUUUCUGGUCCAAAAGCGAAAUUGAAGUUUACGUGAUAAAACUUUAGUGAGUAUUAAACUUUUUUAGGAGCAGAAUCCUGCAAAAGUUCAUCCUUCUACCCAAAUGCUCUAUUUUGGUUACAGUGAGAAGAAGGUUCAGUAAAUACUUUCAUCUGUUCAAAUUUGAUAGGGAUGGUGAUGGGGAUGAUUGAGAAUAAUGGCUUCCCUGAUCAGACAUACGAUACAUGAUCUGUCUCUGUUGUAAGUGCAUAUAGUAGAGGUGGCAGCAUUGCAGGCUGCGGUAGCAUUUGCACAUGAAGUAGGUCUUAAGGGUUUGAGGAUUAUUUCUGGUGCAAAUUUCAGUAAGUAAAAGUUGUAUGUGAGAAAUUGUGGAAUAGUUCUUACUUCAACUACGACAAUAAUGGUAGCUGCUCAAGUUCAUCUAUUCAAGCUUAUCAGUUUACUGGACAAUGUUAUGCACGAGCAUGUGCUCUUUCAAUGAUAGUCGAUGAAGACAAAACAAGAAGAGCAUUAGAGAAGGUUUUUAACUAUAAUGUCUUAAAGAAUAUGGAUGCAGAGCAGGGGCUGGUCAAUGGGAUCUACCUGUUGGAACGGUUGACAUGACAACAUUGCAGUCAAGAGAAAUAUGGUUUGGUGUUACCUAUGCAGCUGUUGUAAUGGUGAUCCAUGGAGAUUUGGUCGAUAUGCAAUUAUUGCCAUUGAAAACUAUGAAACAUCAUGGUCUGGAAAUGGGAUUUCAAAUUGCCGCUGAAAUCUAUGAAGUAGAAUGGCAUGAAAAUGGACUCGGUUAUUCUUUCUGAACUCCUAAAGCCUGGACCACCGUUGAAGCUAAGCAUUUUGAUGAGAAUCUUGGGUCUAAUAAAUGCAUCAAGGUUCAAAAUUAUCAAGAAUGGGUAGAAUCGCAAGCCAAAGCACUUGUGAAUAAUAAUGAUGUUACUGAAGACAAUGCAGAAAAUUCAACUCUCGUAGAAGUGAUUUUUCCUGGUGUGACUAAUGAUUAUGAGUGUGCUGAGUCCUGACCUUGGAGAUUUAUUUGUUGAUGAAGAGCAAGUACAAUCUUCUUUCCAAGUAGUUGAUGGUGUCAGAACUUAGCAUAAAAGAGAGGCAAGAGAAGCAAUUGUAUUGCCGAAGUAUGCCAAAGAGAAGAAAAAGAAUGCUCAAGGAAAAGUAUAUUGAAUUGUUGUAUUGUGUAUGUUUGUACAGAGAUGAAUUUAUGCAGAAAAGUUUAAGCAAACUAUGGUAAUACAAAUCUCAUCAUAAAGAUGGAAUCACAUGAAAUUCGGGAAGCACAAUCACAGCAUGUAAUCAAGCAUAAUCAAAGCAUGUAAUCAAGCACAAUCAUAGCAUUCCAUAUUUCAUUAGAUGGUAGUAGAAGCAAGUCUGCAACUGCUAUAGGUUCAAGUGUAGAUGUAGAGCCUCCUUCUAAAGUUAGUGGAGAUGAUUUGACAACAUUCUUUGUUGAGUUGAAUGAUGAUAAGUAUUAGAAGGAGCUAUUUCCAGAGGAUGAGGAAGUUGUUUCAAAUUCCAUAAGUUUGGAUGAAGAGCCUUGGAAGCGGAGAAGAUUUGGAAAAUUAUGAGUUCUAUGAGGAGCUAUUCCAUGAAAAACAAGUACAAUCCCCUUUCCAGACGAUAGUUGAUGAUGGUAGUGCGACAAAGACUGAAACUAAUACAAAUUCAAGUGUAGAUGAAGACCCUCCUAACGGAAGUGAAGACAAUUUGAUGACACUCUUUUAUGGGUUGGAUGAUAAUGAGUUCUAUAAGGAGUUAUUCCCGAAGAUGAAGUAGUUCUUUUAGAUUCCAUGAGUUUGGCUGAUAUUGGGCACUUAAGGAGCUCAUUGCCUUUGGUGAUUGUAUAAAGCUUUUUCAUGG
Pistacia vera is the source of this 3210-nucleotide long non-coding RNA. RefSeq lists it as uncharacterized. NCBI's taxonomy places the organism in Eukaryota, Viridiplantae, Streptophyta, Magnoliopsida, Sapindales, Anacardiaceae. The record is from RefSeq and is a predicted model, not a curated record. The transcript is spliced from 3 exons.